This is a long non-coding RNA of Lethenteron reissneri (Far Eastern brook lamprey), 1284 nucleotides long. RefSeq lists it as uncharacterized. Lineage: Eukaryota; Metazoa; Chordata; Hyperoartia; Petromyzontiformes; Petromyzontidae. The record is from RefSeq and is a predicted model, not a curated record.
CGUCUCGGUGGGCGUGGUCACCUGGUACCGCCCCCUCGUCUCGAGCCACGCGCUUCCCCCUGGCAGUUGGUCCGUGAGAGAGGCGGGGAGAAACUCUGGCGAAGAGACCUGGACUGCGCGAGAGACGCUGUGAGUUCUGUGCACCCUGCUCUGCAAGUUGCCACCAUGGAGAUGAGCCAAUCUGGAGAGGCGAGGAAUAAGGGCGAAUCUUGUACCACGUGGAGGGCGCUGUCCUCAGAGGGCACCAUCUGCAUCAAAUCACCGCAAGGUAAGAACAGGAAUGAGGGAUGUCACAGAGGGCCAUGGGGAAUGGUGGAACAUCCCGAUGGCCAUGUUGCAUGGUGGAUGUCACAGUGGCCAUGAUGCAUUGACGAUUUCAUAGCGGCCAUGAUGCAUGAGUGAUAUCCAGGUGGCCAAGUUGCAUGGGGGACUUCAUGUUGGCAGUGUUGUAUGGGGGACUUAAUGGUAGCCAUGUUGCAUGGGGGACUGCACCAUGGUGGCCAUGUUGCAUGGGGAUGAUUAUUUGUGCUCUGGCCUCAGCACAUCACACGCUUUCAGAUGCGCUUCCGAUAUUAGGAAGCCACUGGAGCGAUACACUUUUAAAUCAUCUAGAUUGAAAACUCAUUUCUUGAGAACUUAUUUGGGGCAUCAAGUCCGAUUUAGUUACAUUUAAUUUGUAUCCCGAAGCACCUCCAUAUUCCGUCACUAAGGCCAGAACGGCGGGGAAUGAGGCCUCCGAAUUUGGGUGAUGAGCAGGCGUCGCCACCCCACGCCAGCAGGGGGCGGCAUAAGGGUAGCCGGUUCGUGAAGACCUGGCCCACGCCGCCUGGAACAGUGGAGAAGUAUCAAGAAGCGUGAUAAGGGAGGGUGGCUUUCUACAAGGGGUAGGAGUGGUCCCUUCAUCGCGCCUUCUUCUCUCGUGAUUAGACUGCUCUUUCUCUCCAUCGCGAUGCUCAAUGUUUACUUUCAGUCGGAACGCUCCGGAUCGCUACACCGGGAAUAAUUUUGCACUCGCACUCACCAGCGUGAUGAAAUAUUAUCAAAUGACCCCCAUUGUUAACGCGACGUACGGGAAGGGCCUUCAUCCGUUGUGCUGAGAAUGACUGGAAUGGAUUUUAUUUUUGACGCAUGCUGCAGUAUCCUGCAUUUGGGGAGUGGCAGUUUCUUGACAGUCUAAUUGGGGACAGUGAAAACACAGGAGUUGUCAGAUAUUGCCACACUCGGAAUGAGGAAACUGAGAAGUGAUGGGAGUGGAAGUGGAGGGCAUUUGUUCCAAAGAGGACG